AGCAGUGUGGUGUAGCGGUAGGGAGUAGGGCUUGUAACCGAAAGGUUGCUGGUUCGAUUCCUCCCUAGGGCACUGCUG
This is a non-coding RNA of Megalops atlanticus (tarpon), 78 nucleotides long. NCBI's taxonomy places the organism in Eukaryota, Metazoa, Chordata, Actinopteri, Elopiformes, Megalopidae. The record is from the annotation of a GenBank genome assembly.